CAAAAAGUAUACAGAUCAUUUGACCAUCAUAAGAAACAACUAUAUUAAGUUUCAUGAAAUUUGGAUAAGUCGUUCUCAAGUUACGGUGCGACAUGUUUACGCCGGACAGAUGGACAGACGGACGGACGGACGGACGGACAGACAGACGGACGGACGGACACCGGACAUUUGUAUACCAUAAUACGUCCCGUCAAAAUUUUGACGGGCGUAUAAAAAUG
Molecule: long non-coding RNA, 218 nt
Filed under: Mytilus galloprovincialis (Mediterranean mussel)
Lineage: Eukaryota; Metazoa; Mollusca; Bivalvia; Mytilida; Mytilidae
Source: RNAcentral